UUUGGUUACAUUGUUUUGACCACUUCUGCCAGAAUUAUGGACCACGAAGAGGCCAGGAGAAAUAAUGUUGGUGGCAAGGUCCUUGGCUUCUUCUACCAAGUGUUUUUGUUACAUCAACCGGAUGUAAUGGAGGAUCCUAGUUCCCUAGUAAUUGCAGGAGCUGUUUUUGUGAUGUGA
Non-coding RNA from Vicia faba (fava bean), 177 nucleotides. Lineage: Eukaryota; Viridiplantae; Streptophyta; Magnoliopsida; Fabales; Fabaceae. The record is from the annotation of a GenBank genome assembly.